CGGAGGGUGCAAGCGUUAUCCGGAUUCACUGGGUUUAAAGGGUGUGUAGGCGGGCUGUUAAGUCAGUGGUGAAAUCUCCGGGCUCAACCCGGAAACUGCCAUUGAUACUAAUAGUCUUGAAUUCUGUUGAGGUGGGCGGAAUAUGUCAUGUAGCGGUGAAAUGCUUAGAUAUGACAUAGAACACCGAUUGCGAAGGCAGCUCACUGAGCAGAUAUUGACGCUGAGGCACGAAAGCGUGGGGAUCGAACAGGAUUAGAUACCCUGGUAGUCCACGCCGUAAACGAUGCUAACUCGUUUUUGGGCUUUCGGGUUCAGAGACUAAGCGAAAGUGAUAAGUUAGCCACCUGGGGAGUACGUUCGCAAGAAUG
Molecule: ribosomal RNA, 368 nt
Filed under: uncultured organism
Description: bacterial SSU rRNA
Rfam family: Bacterial small subunit ribosomal RNA
Source: RNAcentral